Molecule: long non-coding RNA, 389 nt
Organism: Mizuhopecten yessoensis (Yesso scallop)
Lineage: Eukaryota; Metazoa; Mollusca; Bivalvia; Pectinida; Pectinidae
Exons: 3
Source: RefSeq, a predicted model, not a curated record
UACACGUGCUAUCGAGAUCUUGUUCUGCAACUGAUGAUACAGGACGUAGGACUGACUGUUUUCAGAAUGGACAGAUUACAGUCACUCAUGGUCACACCUGCAAAGUGUUUGGCUCAUAUGGAAAUAGCACUAGUGCAAUCACGUGUUGGAACGGCAAUUGGAUUGAAUUUCCUGCAGGAUCAAUUCGGGUUAAAAGAGGGACAAUAUCGGAAAUAUUUCAUCCCCUGGUUUCAUUCUUCUGUGUGUUCUUCUGCAGCAACCGUCACCCUCCCCCACCGAACCGCCCUCCUCACAUAACAUGGAGCGUUCCCAACACCACAGUCUACUAUGCGGACCCUGGUAAAACGAGUGUUGUUGUAAAGUGGUCCACACCUAGUGCCACAGAUCCU